This 243-nucleotide RNase P RNA is filed under the name Methanococcus maripaludis. RNAcentral's name for it is "partial RNase P RNA". It matches the Rfam family "Archaeal RNase P". Rfam says of the family: Ribonuclease P (RNase P) is a ubiquitous endoribonuclease, found in archaea, bacteria and eukarya as well as chloroplasts and mitochondria. Its best characterised activity is the generation of mature 5'-ends of tRNAs by cleaving the 5'-leader elements of precursor-tRNAs. Lineage: Archaea; Methanobacteriati; Methanobacteriota; Methanococci; Methanococcales; Methanococcaceae. The record is from RNAcentral.
GGGUAAGGGGGCUGGUGACUAUCCACUGGGAGGAAGCUCUGCCCACCCAAUUGUGUAGAUUUCCUGAGAAGGAAUGAAUAGGGUAUAGAAACGACACGGUUCUAAGAAAUAUGACUAUGAUAUUUUCAAAAUUGAGGAUUCUUAGAAAAUCGAUGAAACGACCUUAUUUUACACGGGUGCAAGCAUAUGUGCUAAGCUGAAUGUCACCGAAAUUACAGAAGGCAGGCUAUAGCCCCCAUACCC